Molecule: long non-coding RNA, 573 nt
Organism: Magnolia sinica
Lineage: Eukaryota; Viridiplantae; Streptophyta; Magnoliopsida; Magnoliales; Magnoliaceae
Exons: 3
Source: RefSeq, a predicted model, not a curated record
GUAAUGGCUGAUGGCAGCUGGCAUCGUGCGAGCAAAGGUGCCCCUGAGCAGAUUUUGAACCUUUGCAAUUGCAAGGAUGAUGUUAGGAACAAGGUUCAUUCUGUGAUAGACAAGUUUGCUGAACGUGGGCUUUGAUCAUUGGCUGUUGCAAGACAGGAAGUGCCCGAGAGAACAAAGGAGAGUCUGGGAACACCAUGGCAAUUUGUUGGUCUAUUGCCUCUCUUUGAUCCCCCCAGGCAUGACAGUGCAGAAACCAUCCACAGGGCUCUCAACCUUGGUGUGAAUGUGAAUAUAUUGGCAGUGGCAGACGGGAACAACAAUGUGGAGUUGUGGAAGGUGGCGGUAGAUGGAGAGUGGCAGCAGGUGAUGAUAGUUGAACCCUAGAUCCAGGUUCUUGGGUUUCUCUCUCUGUUGCUGUCUUCGUGUUUUGUGGCUAUGACUGCAAUUUUUGUUUUUUUUUCUUAGUGAAUUUCUCAAUGUGUUUCUCCAUGAUUUGGUUUGGAUAUAUUUGGUUAAUAUUUGUUAGUUUGGACAAUUGAAUUUGUUGAAUUUAGGAUCAAAAGAAUUUACAGA